CCUACGGGUGGCAGCAGUGAGGAAUAUUGGUCAAUGGACGAGAGUCUGAACCAGCCAAGUAGCGUGAAGGAUGACUGCCCUAUGGGUUGUAAACUUCUUUUAUAUGGGAAUAAAAUGUUCCACGUGUGGGAUUUUGUAUGUACCCUAUGAAUAAGGAUCGGCUAACUCCGUGCCAGCAGCCGCGGUAAUACGGAGGAUCCGAUCGUUAUCCGGAUUUAUUGGGUUUAAAGGGAGCGUAGGUGGAUUGUUAAGUCAGUUGUGAAAGUUUGCGGCCAAACCGUAAAAUUGCAGUUGAAACUGGCAGUCUUGAGUACAGUAGAGGUGGGCGGAAUUCGUGGUGUAGCGGUGAAAUGCUUAGAUAUCACGAAGAACUCCGAUUGCGAAGGCAGUUCACUGGACUGCAACUGACACUGAGGCUCGAAAGUGUGGGUAUCAAACAGGAUUAGAUACCCCGGUAGUC
This 460-nucleotide ribosomal RNA is filed under the name uncultured bacterium. Its description in RNAcentral is "partial 16S ribosomal RNA". It matches the Rfam family "Bacterial small subunit ribosomal RNA", at positions 338 to 795 of the family's 1533-position model. The record is from RNAcentral.